CAUUUCUGCUCUAGCUAUUGCUUCUGUGAGUGAUUUGAUCUUUGCUUGGCGUUCUUUUUUUAUACGUGCACCCCACUUAAUCAGUAUGCCUCGGGUGAUACCUUUGUGUGCCUCCCAUACCCAGGUGUCUGCGGUGUCUUUGUUUUUGUUUUCUAGAAAGUAUCUAGGGAGGGAAUUAUUGAGAUCAUCAGUCACUCUUGGGUCGUCCAGUAGCGAUUCAUUUAACC
This is a non-coding RNA of Pelobates cultripes (western spadefoot toad), 227 nucleotides long. The record is from the annotation of a GenBank genome assembly. NCBI's taxonomy places the organism in Eukaryota, Metazoa, Chordata, Amphibia, Anura, Pelobatidae.